UGGGGAAUUUUGGACAAUGGGCGCAAGCCUGAUCCAGCAAUGCCGCGUGCAGGAUGAAGGCCUUCGGGUUGUAAACUGCUUUUGUACGGAACGAAACGGUCHKYUCUAAUACAGUGGGCUAAUGACGGUACCGUAAGAAUAAGCACCGGCUAACUACGUGCCAGCAGCCGCGGUAAUACGUAGGGUGCGAGCGUUAAUCGGAAUUACUGGGCGUAAAGCGUGCGCAGGCGGUUAUAUAAGACAGAUGUGAAAUCCCCGGGCUCAACCUGGGACCUGCAUUUGUGACUGUAUAGCUAGAGUACGGUAGAGGGGGAUGGAAUUCCGCGUGUAGCAGUGAAAUGCGUAGAUAUGCGGAGGAACACCGAUGGCGAAGGCAAUCCCCUGGACCUGUACUGACGCUCAUGCACGAAAGCGUGGGGAGCAAACAGGAUUAGAUACCCUGGUAGUCCACGCCCUAAACGAUGUCAACUGGUUGUUGGGUCUUCACUGACUCAGUAACGAAGCUAACGCGUGAAGUUGACCGCCUGGGGAGUACGGCCGCAAGGUUG
This 548-nucleotide ribosomal RNA is filed under the name uncultured beta proteobacterium. RNAcentral's name for it is "bacterial SSU rRNA". It matches the Rfam family "Bacterial small subunit ribosomal RNA", at positions 355 to 896 of the family's 1533-position model. Lineage: Bacteria; Pseudomonadati; Pseudomonadota; Betaproteobacteria. The record is from RNAcentral.